GUCUUACUCUGUUCACCCAGGCUGGAGUGCAGUGGCGUGGUUUUGGCUCACUGCAACCUCUGCCACCCAGGUUCAAGCAAUUCUCCUACCUCAGCCUCCCGAGUAGCUGGGAUUACAGGCACCUGCCACAGCGCCCUGCUAAUUUUUGUAUUUUUAGUAGAGACGGGGUUUCACCAUAUUGGUCAGGCUGAUCUUGAACUCCUGACCUCGUGAUCCACCUGCUUCGGCCUCCCAAAGUGCUGGGAUUACAGGUGUGAGCCACCACGCCUGGCUCACCUCACAUGUUUUUAAAAGAUCCAGUGGCCUGAUGGCUCUUGGUGCUCUUCCCAGAUGAUGGUAAAAUGCUCAGUGUGGACCAAGAGAAGCCUGACCCUGACAAAUAUCCUUUUUUCUUUACACAUCUGAAUUUUGAUGAGCUCUGAAGGGAACUCGAUUUCUCCGCAGCCGUCCUGAGUUCUGUGGUGCUUAGUGUCUGAUGCCUUCAUCUUCCUUUAGUUUCAACACUGUGUAUAACUUAGUCCUCUCCAGGACCUGUCCCCCAGCUCUGGGGAGGGACCAAAGCUGUACAGUAGGUGAAUAGUGAGUAACUGGAUGAAGUGUUCUUUUGUCUCUCUGAAUGCUCCCCAGAGCCAUAAGGAAUUAAUGAUCUUAGCUACCGGGCUGGGAGCAGUGGCUCACACCUGUAAUCCCAGCACCUUGGCAAGCCAAGAUGGGAGGAUCGCUUGAGGCCAGGAGUUCGAGACCAGCCUGGGCAACAGUGAGGCCCUGUCUCUACAACAAACAAGCAAACAAACAAACAAGAACAACAAAAAAACUCAGCUACCACUUCAUGAGUAUCUAUGCUGCGCCAGGGACUACUUCAGGGGUGAAGGGAGCGUGUCUUUUCUAAAACCUCCCAGCUGUACAGUUCCAAUGACAGAAACUUCACUCUGCUGUCCACACCACUCUUCCAACGAGACCUAGCCUGGAUUCUAGGCAGGGAAUAACAUCAGGGCUCAAUCAGAGUAGCCUGUAUGCCUCUGAAGGACAGUGUCCUGCAAAAGGUAGGCCCUUGAAUUGUCUAAUGAGCUCCACUUCAGACCCCUGGGGCUUGAUUGGAUUGUCAUUACGACGUUGUCAUUCACUUCUUUCUCUGGACCCCUGCAG
Molecule: long non-coding RNA, 1146 nt
Filed under: Pan paniscus (pygmy chimpanzee)
Lineage: Eukaryota; Metazoa; Chordata; Mammalia; Primates; Hominidae
Description: lncRNA (ENSPPAG00000044966.1)
Source: RNAcentral